UCCGGUAAGGUAACCUGCGGAAGGAUCAUUA
Molecule: ribosomal RNA, 31 nt
Filed under: Paxillus involutus
Lineage: Eukaryota; Fungi; Basidiomycota; Agaricomycetes; Boletales; Paxillaceae
Description: partial 18S ribosomal RNA
Source: RNAcentral